Molecule: long non-coding RNA, 380 nt
Filed under: Setaria viridis
Lineage: Eukaryota; Viridiplantae; Streptophyta; Magnoliopsida; Poales; Poaceae
Description: long non-coding RNA (SVIR_LNC008855)
Source: RNAcentral
GAUUUUACUCGUGUCAAAAUCGGGCGUCAACACAUGCCCCCUAGUUUCGGAGUAAAACAUAGUCUUUAUUUCGAAAUUCUUUUCAAAUUCUCAUCCGAAACAGACGCCACGAAAACAUCCUUCCGUUUCGCGGUCUCCAACCUGAUGAUUGCAAUCUUUUCGAAACGGGCGCCCACGACAACCACUACUCCCAAAAAACUCGAAACGCCGGCGCGGUAAAAAUUCCACUUUUACCCCUUCUCAAACCUUCUUUAAAUAUCAGCACAUCCCGUACUCCUUACGACCUCACGUCCUUCUUCUUCAGCGCACAGGCUUUCUUCUUCCUCCAAUACUUUCCUUAGUCCUCCAAUUCUCCAGCACCUCCUUCCUUUCGCAUUCCC